RNAcentral lists this ribosomal RNA (492 nucleotides) under uncultured bacterium. Its description in RNAcentral is "partial 16S ribosomal RNA". It matches the Rfam family "Bacterial small subunit ribosomal RNA", at positions 28 to 507 of the family's 1533-position model. The record is from RNAcentral.
GGUGAACGCUGGCGGUAGGCCUAACACAUGCAAGUCGAACGGCAGCACAGUAAGAGCUUGCUCUUACGGGUGGCGAGUGGCGGACGGGUGAGGAAUACAUCGGAAUCUACUUUUUCGUGGGGGAUAACGUAGGGAAACUUACGCUAAUACCCCAUACGACCUACGGGUGAAAGCAGGGGAUCUUCGGACCUUGCGCGAUUGAAUGAGCCGAUGUCGGAUUAGCUAGUUGGCGGGGUAAAGGCCCACCAAGGCGACGAUCCGUAGCUGGUCUGAGAGGAUGAUCAGCCACACUGGAACUGAGACACGGUCCAGACUCCUACGGGAGGCAGCAGUGGGGAAUAUUGGACAAUGGGCGCAAGCCUGAUCCAGCCAUACCGCGUGGGUGAAGAAGGCCUUCGGGUUGUAAAGCCCUUUUGUUGGGAAAGAAAAGCAGCAGGUUAAUACCCCGCUGUUCUGACGGUACCCAAAGAAUAAGCACCGGCUAACUUCGUG